AGUGACCCCGGGCCAUGGGGGCCUCAGCCCUCCAACUCCAGCUGGAUUCCCAGCCUGUGACCCAACCCUCAGAUGGCCUGGGACACUCCCCAGGCUUUGAGGAGGGGGCUCCUGUUUGGUCUGGGCACGCUGAGAUGCUGAGUCCAUCUCACUGAUGUGCUUUUCACUAGAAGCUCCUGCAGAGCUUCUCGCUCCCAGCCCUUGGGAACCCGCGCUCCUACAGCUCAAGAACAGCCUCUCCUGCACCAGGGAUGUGACAUUUCCUGUGGAGCGUGUGGGGUUUUAUUUUCAUAGGAAGAAAUAAUGGAGUGAUUAAUUUAGCUGCCCGUGCUCUCAGAAGAAAAGUGCAAUAAAUCAGUAGAGCGAUACCUGAGGAAACAAACAGCCCGUGUCCCACGAGCAGAAUGAAAAUCAGCUGGAAACUUUAAGGAAAAGGCUUUAAGGAAAUUUUAAGGAAAAGGCUGAGCCCCUCACCUCCAGGGUCCCCUGGCUCACAGGUUCCUUGCUGUGUGUUGAAGAGCCAAAGCCAUGCUGAAGGAACUCCCCAAAAACUCUUCCCAGGAAAGAAGUUCUCAUGGCCUGACGUGUCUCUGUGAGCUCUGGGGUCCCUCCCACGCUGCCCUGUGGCGUUUGGGGACGAAGGAGCUCUGCUCAUUUCCUCCCAUCCUCCCGGGUCCUGCAGGGGCUGUUCCAGCCCUGGGACUCGCGGGCUCUGGGCUCUCCACAUGGUAAUAUCACCCCUGGCUUCAGAGCUUGCUGCUCCCCAGUCCAGCUCCCAUUUUAGGACAUAUUUUCCCCAAAUUGCUGCCUUAUUUGGCCUUUCCCCUGUGGUUCUGGUGACAUCACCCAGCAGGCAGUUGGUUCCAGGGCCACCACCCCGUGGGACCCCGUGAGGAGCUGCCCUGGGGA
This is a long non-coding RNA of Passer domesticus (house sparrow), 909 nucleotides long. RefSeq lists it as uncharacterized. The transcript is spliced from 3 exons. Lineage: Eukaryota; Metazoa; Chordata; Aves; Passeriformes; Passeridae. The record is from RefSeq and is a predicted model, not a curated record.